AUGAAGCAGCUCGCGAGCUCUUCCCGGCAAGGUCGCCACGGCCACGCCCUCCACCUCUUUUUCACCCGCCUGAGCCUCCAAGCCAGCAUCGGCGGCACGGUUGAUCCCUACCCUGCUUCCGUGCCCACCGCUCUACGCGCCUGCGCACACCUCGCCGAUUCCGGCCGCCUCAUCCACGCGCUCGUGCUCACACGCCCCGCCCUCGCCUCGGACAAAGUCAUCGCGACCGCGCUGCUCGACAUGUACGCCAAGUGCGGCCUCAUUCCAAGCGCCCGCAAGGUGUUCGACGAAACGCCGGCGAGGGACCUCGUCGUCUGGAAUGCGCUGCUCGCGGGCUACGCGCGGCACGGGCUUCCAGAGCACGCGCUGGCGCUGGCUGUCAAGAUGCGGGGCCUCGGCCUGAGCCCCGAUCUGGUCACCUGGAAUGCUGCCGUGUCGGGCUUUGCCAUGGCCGGCGAUGGCAGAAUGGCCAGCGAUUUGGUCGGCGCCAUGCAAGAGGAGGGGUUCCAGCCAGAUGUGGUGACAUGGACAUCGCUCGUCUCUGGCUCGGUGCUGAACUUCCAGUAUGGGAGAGCGCGAACCCUGUUCCGGGAAAUGGUGGCCGGUGGCGCCCGUGUCCUGCCAAGCUCGGCCACGAUUAGUAGCAUCUUGCCAGCAUUUGCCGGAGUCGGUGACACAAAGCAUGGGAAGGAGGUCCACGGCUACGCUGUCGUGACCGGUGUCGAGCAGGAGCUCACGGUGAGCAGCGCGCUCGUCGACAUGUUCGCCAAGUCCGGGCUUGUGCACGAGGCGUGCCGCUUGUUCGACAAAAUGUCAGAAAGGAGCACCGUGACAUGGAAUUCCAUGAUCUUCGGGCUGGCGAAUUCCGGCCACUGCCGGGAAGCAGUCAGCCUCUUCGACCGGAUGCUGGACGAAGAAGCGACGCCGGACCACCUGACGUUCACGGCCGUUCUGACAGCUUGUGGCUACGGUGGCAUGGUCGAGACCGGGAAGGCCCUGUACCAGCGCAUGCAAGAGGAGCACGGCAUCGUGGCGAGGCUGGAGCACUACGCCUGCAUGGUGCAUUUGCUUGGCCGAGCCGGGAGGCUCGUCGAGGCUCACGAUUUCAUCAGGGCGAUGCCCAUCGAGCCCGACUGCUUCGUCUGGGGGGCGCUGCUCGGUGCCUGCCGGAGCCACGGGAACGUCGAGCUCGCGGAGCUGGCGGCGUCCCGCGUGCGCACCGUCGAGCCAGAAAACGCCGCGAGCUACGUGCUGCUCUCGGGAGCGCUGGCAGAUGCCGGCAAGCAGAACGACGUUUUCAAGAUCAAAAGGUUGGUGAAGAGACGGCGGCUGAAGAGGCUUGACGGUUGCAGCUGGCUAGAGACGUCCUAG
RNAcentral lists this ribosomal RNA (1371 nucleotides) under Triticum aestivum (bread wheat). Its description in RNAcentral is "partial small subunit ribosomal RNA". The record is from RNAcentral. Lineage: Eukaryota; Viridiplantae; Streptophyta; Magnoliopsida; Poales; Poaceae.